CUCAUAAAUAAUCAUACAACGUUUUGGCUAUUAAUUUGAAACCAAAACAAAAUGAGAAAUCAAAAUAUAAAUUGUCUCGCCAUUCUUUCUCUCAUCCUAAUGUUGUUGUGUGCAAAUGGAGAGGUGACAGCACAAAACGAAUUAUGUGACCCUGAAAAAUGCAACAAGGGAUGUUGGGAUUUAAUUAAGUACAUUGGAUAUUGUGCUCCUAAUGGAUCUUGUCAAUGUAUCCCAAGACCAGUACCUCCAACUCCAAGAUCCAUACCUAAGUGGAGUCAUGUAUCUAAAUCUCUACCAUAGUUUUAUUUUAAUAUAGUGCUGAAAAAUAAAUUAUAAAGGUGAAAAAGAUCAUGUAUGUACUCAUCAUUAUUGAUCUUAAAGAAUUAAUAAAUGUUUUCUUAUGAAUA
Long non-coding RNA from Vicia villosa (hairy vetch), 407 nucleotides. RefSeq lists it as uncharacterized. The record is from RefSeq and is a predicted model, not a curated record. The transcript is spliced from 2 exons. NCBI's taxonomy places the organism in Eukaryota, Viridiplantae, Streptophyta, Magnoliopsida, Fabales, Fabaceae.